CAGUCGCCACGGUAAUACGUAGGUGGCAAGCGUUGUCCGGAAUUAUUGGGCGUAAAGGGCUCGCAGGCGGUUUCUUAAGUCUGAUGUGAAAGCCCCCGGCUCAACCGGGGAGGGUCAUUGGAAACUGGGAAACUUGAGUGCAGAAGAGGAGAGUGGAGUUCCACGUGUAGCGGUGAAAUGCGUAGAGAUGUGGAGGAACACCAGUGGCGAAGGCGACUCUCUGGUCUGUAACUGACGCUGAGGAGCGAAAGCGUGGGGAGCGAACAGGAUUAGAUACCCCCGUAGUCCCUGUCUCUUAUAC
Molecule: ribosomal RNA, 301 nt
Filed under: uncultured bacterium
Lineage: Bacteria
Description: partial 16S ribosomal RNA
Rfam family: Bacterial small subunit ribosomal RNA
Source: RNAcentral